AGAGGGAUGGCAGAGUGGUCGAUUGCGGCGGUCUUGAAAACCGUUGGCUGUAAAAGGUCCGGGGGUUCGAAUCCCUCUCCCUCUG
RNAcentral lists this transfer RNA (85 nucleotides) under Cytophagales bacterium. RNAcentral describes it as "tRNA-Ser". It matches the Rfam family "tRNA". From Rfam's summary of the family: Transfer RNA (tRNA) molecules are approximately 80 nucleotides in length. Their secondary structure includes four short double-helical elements and three loops (D, anti-codon, and T loops). The record is from RNAcentral. Lineage: Bacteria; Pseudomonadati; Bacteroidota; Cytophagia; Cytophagales.